UUCAAAAAGAACCAUUCCUAUUGUUUAACGCUUCUUUCUUUCGCUGUGUUCCUUCUUUCCCUUCUAUGAUCAUGUAGUUUUCUCCUCAAUUGAUUCUAAAUUGACUGAGAAAUACACAACUAUUUUAUUAUCAAGUUCAAAUUGUUAAUUCGCUUUUCUCCUACCUACUUACUUAGUUACCUCGUGUCUAUUUGUCUCUAUAGUAACCCUUUCGCCCCCAUUUUAUAUAUACA
Non-coding RNA from Schizosaccharomyces pombe (fission yeast), 233 nucleotides. The record is from the annotation of a GenBank genome assembly. NCBI's taxonomy places the organism in Eukaryota, Fungi, Ascomycota, Schizosaccharomycetes, Schizosaccharomycetales, Schizosaccharomycetaceae.